Molecule: ribosomal RNA, 525 nt
Filed under: Parabacteroides distasonis
Lineage: Bacteria; Pseudomonadati; Bacteroidota; Bacteroidia; Bacteroidales; Tannerellaceae
Description: bacterial SSU rRNA
Rfam family: Bacterial small subunit ribosomal RNA
Source: RNAcentral
AGGUGGAAACACCUUUUCUAGCAAUAGCCGUUUGCGAGGUGCUGCAUGGUUGUCGUCAGCUCGUGCCGUGAGGUGUCGGCUUAAGUGCCAUAACGAGCGCAACCCUUGCCACUAGUUACUAACAGGUGAUGCUGAGGACUCUGGUGGGACUGCCAGCGUAAGCUGCGAGGAAGGCGGGGAUGACGUCAAAUCAGCACGGCCCUUACAUCCGGGGCGACACACGUGUUACAAUGGCGUGGACAAAGGGAGGCCACCUGGCGACAGGGAGCGAAUCCCCAAACCACGUCUCAGUUCGGAUCGGAGUCUGCAACCCGACUCCGUGAAGCUGGAUUCGCUAGUAAUCGCGCAUCAGCCAUGGCGCGGUGAAUACGUUCCCGGGCCUUGUACACACCGCCCGUCAAGCCAUGGGAGCCGGGGGUACCUGAAGUCCGUAACCGCGAGGAUCGGCCUAGGGUAAAACUGGUGACUGGGGCUAAGUCGUAACAAGGUAGCCGUACCGGAAGGUGCGGCUGGAACACCUCCUUU